Molecule: ribosomal RNA, 497 nt
Filed under: uncultured bacterium
Lineage: Bacteria
Description: partial 16S ribosomal RNA
Rfam family: Bacterial small subunit ribosomal RNA
Source: RNAcentral
GAUGAACGCUGGCGGCGUGCCUAAUACAUGCAAGUCGAGCGAACAGACGAGGAGCUUGCUUCCCUGACGUUAGCGGCGGACGUGUGAGUAACACGUUGAUAACCUACCUACAAGACUGGGAUAACUUCGGGACACCGGAGCUCAUACGGGAUAAUCGCAUGAACCGCAUGGUUCAAUAGUGAAAGACGGUUUUGCUGUAUCUUAUAGAUGGAACCGGGCCGCAUUAGCUAGUUGGUAAGGUAAGGGCUUACCAAGGGGACGAUGCGUAGCCGACCGGAGAGGGUGAUCGGCCAAACUGGAACUAGGACACGGUCCAGACCCCUAGGGGAGGAAGCAGAGGGGAAUCUUGGGCAAGGGGCGAAGUCCUGACGGGGCAAGGCCGCGUGAGGGAUGAGGGUCUUCGGAUGGAAAAACUCUGUGAUUGGGGAGGAACAGAUGUGUAAGGAACUAUGCACGUCUUGACGGUACCUAAUCAGAAAGCGACGGCUAACUACGUG